This 65-nucleotide transfer RNA is filed under the name Penion ormesi. Its description in RNAcentral is "tRNA-Tyr". It matches the Rfam family "tRNA". From Rfam's summary of the family: Transfer RNA (tRNA) molecules are approximately 80 nucleotides in length. Their secondary structure includes four short double-helical elements and three loops (D, anti-codon, and T loops). The record is from RNAcentral. Lineage: Eukaryota; Metazoa; Mollusca; Gastropoda; Neogastropoda; Buccinidae.
UGUUUGGUGGCUGAGUGAGAGGCAAUAGACUGUAGAUCUAUUAACGGAGUUAAAUCUCCCCAACA